UACGUAGGGGGCAAGCGUUGUCCGGAUUUAUUGGGCGUAAAGAGCGUGUAGGCGGCCAGGCAGGUCCGCUGUGAAAACUCGAGGCUCAACCUCGAGAUGUCGGCGGAAACCGUCUGGCUAGAGUCCGGAAGAGGAGAGUGGAAUUCCUGGUGUAGCGGUGAAAUGCGCAGAUAUCAGGAAGAACACCUAUGGCGAAGGCAGCUCUCUGGGACGGUACUGACGCUGAGACGCGAAAGCGUGGGGAGCGAACAGG
RNAcentral lists this ribosomal RNA (253 nucleotides) under uncultured bacterium. RNAcentral describes it as "partial 16S ribosomal RNA". It matches the Rfam family "Bacterial small subunit ribosomal RNA", at positions 524 to 776 of the family's 1533-position model. The record is from RNAcentral.